UACCUGCAGCUCGAGUGGUAACCGCUAUUAUUGGGCCUAAAGCGUCUGUAGCCGGUUUGGUAAAUAUCUGGGUAAAUCGUGAGGCUUAACUUCACGAAUUUCGGAUAGACUGCCAGACUUGGGAUCGGGGGAGGUCAGAGGUACUCCAGGGGUAGCGGUGAAAUGUUGUAAUCCUUGGAGGACCACCGGUAGCGAAGGCGUCUGACUAGAACGAGUCCGACGGUGAGGGACGAAGCCCUGGGGCGCAAACCGGAUUAGAUACCCGGGUAGUCCAGGGUGUAAACGAUGUGGGCUUUGUAUUGGAGGUCCCACGUGGGCGUCCAGUGCAGAAGAGAAGUUGUUAAGCCCACCGCCUGGGAAGUACGGUCGCAAGGCUGAAACUUAAAGGAAUUGGCGGGGGAGCACAGCAACGGGAGGAGCGUGCGGUUU
Molecule: ribosomal RNA, 429 nt
Filed under: uncultured archaeon
Lineage: Archaea
Description: bacterial SSU rRNA
Rfam family: Archaeal small subunit ribosomal RNA
Source: RNAcentral